Molecule: long non-coding RNA, 550 nt
Filed under: Fukomys damarensis (Damara mole-rat)
Lineage: Eukaryota; Metazoa; Chordata; Mammalia; Rodentia; Bathyergidae
Description: lncRNA (ENSFDAG00000031600.1)
Source: RNAcentral
GUCAGAAAGGUUGCAGAUCUGGCCCUGAGCCUGCUCCUAUUACAGUGAAGAGACUAAUCUCUCUCUCUCUCUGGAAGGGUCCUUGAGGAUCAUUGACAGGAGAGGCUUUUGAGGUGCUUUCGAACAUCAGAAGACUCAUCCAAAAAUGAGUUGGCCUAGGAGCACCAAUUAGUCCAAAUUGGAUCUGGAUCAGAUGGCAGCAAUCCAGGCCAAGCAGUCGCUCUCAGGCCGCAGGGACAAACCCUCCUCCAAAGUGCAGAGGGCACCAUGACUUCUGGAUUCUGCUUCCCUGUGCUGAAAACUCGGAGGAACAGCUUCUUAUUUGGUGAGCAUCUCCUUGGAGCAGACAAGGACAGAUUCCCUGGUGCUCCUUUCGGGGACGAGCCGGAGUCUCGCGGUGCCUCGGAGAUGAGGACACACGUGCUGUUUUCUCAAGCCUGCCUUUCCGGUGACCGACACUUGAGAGCAGAAGCACUGGCCGCACUUUUGAUGGAACCCCGCUACGACACUCACGAAAGACAACUUCGGUAACCGCUCAGAGGGCGGCGAG